This is a transfer RNA of Felis catus (domestic cat), 85 nucleotides long. It matches the Rfam family "tRNA". From Rfam's summary of the family: Transfer RNA (tRNA) molecules are approximately 80 nucleotides in length. Their secondary structure includes four short double-helical elements and three loops (D, anti-codon, and T loops). Lineage: Eukaryota; Metazoa; Chordata; Mammalia; Carnivora; Felidae. The record is from Rfam.
GCCUGGGUGGCUCAGUCAGUUGAGCAUCGGACUUCAGGUCAGGUCACGAUGUCCCGGUUCGUGGGUUCGAGCCCCGCAUCGGGCU